This 253-nucleotide ribosomal RNA is filed under the name uncultured bacterium. RNAcentral's name for it is "partial 16S ribosomal RNA". It matches the Rfam family "Bacterial small subunit ribosomal RNA", at positions 524 to 776 of the family's 1533-position model. The record is from RNAcentral.
UACGUAGGCAGCGAGCGUUGUUCGGAGUUACUGGGCGUAAAGGGUGUGUAGGCGGUUCUUUAAGUUUGGGGUGAAAUCUCCCGGCUCAACCGGGAGGGUGCGCUGAAUACUGAGGGACUAGAGUACGGGAGAGGAAAGUGGAAUUCCUGGUGUAGCGGUGAAAUGCGUAGAUAUCAGGAGGAACACCGGUGGUGUAGACGGCUUUCUGGACCGUAACUGACGCUGAGACACGAAAGCGUGGGUAGCAAACGGG